Bombus pyrosoma is the source of this 4581-nucleotide long non-coding RNA. RefSeq lists it as uncharacterized. The record is from RefSeq and is a predicted model, not a curated record. NCBI's taxonomy places the organism in Eukaryota, Metazoa, Arthropoda, Insecta, Hymenoptera, Apidae. The transcript has 12 exons.
GCCGUCAGUCGGCGCGUAGGCAGGGUAGGGGUUUACCUUAUGCAAGCGUUACAUACAUUUGGUUAUAUUACUGACAUUACGUAAACGCUGCUGAUUACAAGGCGCGAGAAGGGAGAGAGAAGUGUUACAAAUUGUCGAUAUUCAGGAUAUUCGUCGAUAGCCGGUAUUACGUUCGAGAAGAUUCGCGGUUCUUGAUAAACGAACGAGCCCAUUGGCCAACUCGCAUCCUUAUUUUUGUUUGGCUUUCGUUGGUAAUCAAACAUGAUGUGCGAGAGGAACGGAAUCGCUGACUUUGAAACGUUCACGGCACGUUACGAAACGGGUCUUCUUACCUUGUAGCGUCGCAUUAUACAUAUAGGAGAGGGUCGGUACAGCCAUUCGCGCGCGUAAGAGGUUGGUUACAUGAGCGUGUAAAUAUUUCGCUUACGACGAACGGUUUAUUCGUUGCGUUAUGCGCACCUCUCCCGGUGCCUUAAACCUCCAAUUACGUAAGCACCGCCGUUUGAUGUUUAUGUAACAUCGUACCACGUUACCGACGAAAUCGGUCAUCGUCAGCAUUGAACGAGGAACAACCAUCAGAAAUAAUACCUGCUUCUGCGCUCCGUUCAACGAUCCACUGAUCGUCCGGCUAGCGUCACCUGGUACAACGUACACGUACUAAAGCACCGAACGUAUGAUAACAAGAACUCGCAAUUUUGUCGCACGUACGUACAGACUUUUUGUCUGAGGUUCUGAAAUACCGACGUGCACAAAAAUCGCAGUGUUUCUUGCGCCCUCUGCAUUUUUUACGGUGAACACAAGGCAAAGAUGAUAAAGCUGGCAUAGUGCGGGAGACAGUAAAUAUUUAACGACCACUUAUUUUCGCAUCCUAAUUUCGAGGUUAUUUGGGCGGAAUUAUUUAAGAAAUGAAAAAACUGUCCAAGGCUUUUUACCUUCACCAUACCUGGAAUCGGUAAGACUAGAAAUUGGAGCGUAAAAUAAUCGCGGAUGCAUAUCGAGCAACUAUGUUUUACUAGAACUAAAUAAUUAUGUAAAAACGGACGCACUUAUCUCGACUCGUCUUGUACCAUGGCACGCAAAGCUGUACAGAAGGAGAGGGCGUUGGACACGAACUGAAAUGACAUCAACUUGUUAUUUAUAUAUACAACAUUCGUAAUUAACCUGUUAAUCAGAGAAAGCGGCGAACCACAUUAAGAGAGCACCAACCACGCCUAUGCAUAAGUGUGCAGUGACGGUGAGGCAUACGCUGCUGUGAUGGUUGGAAUCGGUAAGACCAAAGGCCCAAACAUAAAAAAGGUUAGCGACGCAUAAAUAGCCACUACAUAAGCACUGUAAAGGACGUUGCAUUUUACUAUAUGUGCGAUGAAAAUUUCUCUUUCGAACUGUUGCGCCUCGUUCACACAUUUCACCAUCUCUCCAAUUAUACGCUACAACAUGUUUCAAACAUCAAUGCUUCCGACGCGAAUUAAUUGCUGAAGGGACGCGAGGUUGAACUUACUUGCAGCGAGUCGCGCUUCUUCCAACAUAUACAAGUCUGAAUAACUAGUUGCGUGGUGUAUAUCGUUAAGGUAAUACAUUUGAAGAGAGCGUCCAAGUAAAAACUUAUAUCGUCCAAGUACAAAUAAAUCGAAUAUAACGAAGGCAGGAGAAUCAGAAAAGCGUUAAUGACAAUACAGAUUUGUGCAAUUUUGUAACUGCCCCGGCUUCUGUCGCUGUUGUCAGCAGAUGGCCAACAAAAGCUUAAAGCUACACUGAGCCGAGUAAACUGGAUUACAUCUUCCGGUGUUAUUUGUUUCGACAUAAUCUCAACAAACUUUUACAUCUAAUGAGUCAGACUAAACAUGUUUCAAUUCGCACAGUAGGAAGAUAUGUCCAGGUUCUUGGGAGCCAGGUGCAAAUCAAUAAAUGAUACUGAAAAUACGCAGGAACAACUCGUGUUUACUGCAAAGUACGGAGUUCUUGUACUGUUAGAUGCUUCGAUGGUAAGAAUUAUUAAUUGCAUUAUACAUUUGCACGUUUCUGGUUACUAGAGAGGCACAAAGGCACGUUAUUACGUACAAUCGGCAAUAUUCAUGUGGCAGAACCUUCUUCGAAAAUGCAACGUGGCAUAUGUGCACGAUACCAUAUAUUUAGUAUCUUGGACGAUAUGUAUAGCUAAGAGUAAAAUAACAACGAAGUUUUCCAUCUAAACAUCUAGUAGUUGUAUCGACUUAUAUUUCUUUGAGGAUGAGUCUGGAUGAUUUCUCGUGACAUCGUUGUAAAAAACGGGUGAUUUGUGAUUACAAGCGUAGCCAACGCGAAGACAUUUGACGCGGUCGUCUGUCUGUUCAUUACCAUCGAUGGAGGAAGUAAUGGACAACCCGUAACCCUACACAACGAGUAAUUAGAACACUAUCAAAAAGCAUAAUUUCCUUGCCUUCGAACUUAUUACACACUUAUAUCGGAUGUAUGUAAAUACGCAACAAGUAAGGAUGCACGAAAGUAUGUAAAUAUAUAUACUGUCAAAACGAAUGAUAGUACAUAAAUAUCGAUAAUCCAUUCACGAUCAUGAUUGACAUGGGAGAUAUUGAUUUGCCUUACCGAACAAUAAAAACGUAAAUUAAGCUCUGGCAGAAAGCAACCGACAGAAAGUGUCACUGGUUUCUGAUGGACCAACACGGUUCGAAGAUCGUUAGUUACAAUUUCGAGUGCAAAGAACACAAUUUCGUAGCAGAUUGCAUCUCAGAUUACUGCACAUAAAUACUUACGGCAUCUUGUAAAUAAUCAGCUGGCCACGCAUACAUGAAAGUGAGUAAGAGACAGAAAGCACUAGCGUCGAGGAGCUCCACUUUCGUAGUUACUGGUGAAUCCUGUAAAUGUCCUAAUUUAAAUUCUGCGAAGUUCUAUCAUCGAUUCAUUAUACCGUACAGAAAAUAUCAGAAGAUCCACAUACCACUAUUAAUAAAAUCCCACAUAGAGUUAUAGUAAACGUUGUCAUUCCCAACACAUAAAGUAUUAUGAAGCGAAAACAACCAACCACUUCCUCGGCGUACCUAGAUAGGGGGAAACCGUUUAUAACGAACACAAAUGUCUCAGUUAAAUCACACAUGUUUUCUGAAUUUCCACGACUAAACAUUCGAAUCUUACGGCAGCGAACCACAUUAAGAGCGCACCAAACACGCCUAUGCAUAAAUGUGCAGUAACGGCGAGGCACACGCUGCUGUGAUGCAAGUAGAGGAUAAAAUUUACUGGCGUAUAAUUCACUUGAAACGGAUACUCCACUUCCACUAGGAUUGGAAUCGGAUACAUCUUUUCCAACUCGCCUUAUAUCAUGGUUCGCAAAGGGGUACAGAAGGAAGAAGCUUUGGACACGAACUGAAAUUAUAUCAAUUCGUUAUUUAUUUAUUAUUCUUAAUUAACCUGUCAAUCGGAGAAGAUUAGAUGACGACAUGGCAAUCGCUUGAAUAUGAAUAUCCUUAUUUAGUGUUAGGUUUGGGUUAGCGAUAUUUUUAUUUUUAUGUAUUUGUACAAUCGUUAUCAUUAAAGCUGUAAAUUUAAUAGAAUUCUAUGUUAUUUGUUAUAGAUUUCGCACUGACACAUCACUAUGGGAUUCGAUGCCAUGAUAACUUCCUCCGAGCAAAGGAUAGCGUUAAUGACAAUAUUUCUCGCAUCUAAUGGUGAAUUGCAUACAUUUUUAUUCCUCCGAUCACCUAAUCACAUUUUUUUUAGCGAAUUUAUGUGUUUCAUUUAUCAGAUCAUGAUAACGUCUCCUUGCAUAUCGCGUCUUCGAUGUGAUUAAAAUUUUAUAUCGAUAAUAUUCAUUGGUAUAAUUUGAAAAAAAUCAGAAUUUGCUCAAUAUUGAUAUUUGUAAAAGUUGUAAAAAUAAAAAAUAUGAAUAUGAUAUGGCACGAACGUCCAUAGGCUAAUAUUAAUAAGGCCAUGAUAAUAGGACAGAGUAUCUUAUACUUUGGUAAUUAAAGUUGAGAAUUCCAUACCACACAUGCUGUAAUGUAAUAAAUAACAUUUGUGUUCUUUAUAAAUAUAGCAACAGUUUAUUAAUUUCAUUCGUAGUUAAAGUUCUAUGGUUCGUUAGUUACAGUGAUAAAAUAUUACGAUAAUUAUUAAAAUAUAAACACGGUAUUAGAACGGUAUUUUACAAUAUUUUUCCUUCCUAAGAUAUUCAGCUUCGGAAAGGUUAAACUUUUCUCUAUCAGCAUAAAACGUAUUAAAAAAGGAGGAUAGAUUAAAGGAUCAUCGUAACAUGAAGAAAUAGAAGAAGAAUUACAAAAAAACUCGAUACAUUUCGAUAGGAUGUGUUACAGGAAUAUAUCGGUAUUAUUAGUGUUUAAUCAUUAUCUUGCAAACUAUGGGAGGAAAUGUAUUCCAUCGGCUUCGUACGUACGUGUUUCAGUUUAUUUAUUAAAUUAUUGUUUGACACAGGUUAUCGUGUAUGUCGUACAGUGAGAGUUGUGUGUAUGGGCAAUAAUACCUAUCUAUAAUAUAAUAGUAGAAGUAGAAUUAAAGUUAAUCCAUUUAAAUACAAGUGCGACACGCGCGAUCAAAGAGGCGUAAGGAGAGAGAGAGAGAAAGAGAGAGAAAAAG